This 403-nucleotide ribosomal RNA is filed under the name uncultured bacterium. Its description in RNAcentral is "bacterial SSU rRNA". It matches the Rfam family "Bacterial small subunit ribosomal RNA", at positions 64 to 507 of the family's 1533-position model. The record is from RNAcentral.
GAACGCAAGGCUUCGGCCUUGAGUGGCGCACGGGUGAGUAGCGCGUGGGAACCCGCCCAGUCGUGGGGGAUAACCGAUGGAAACGUCGGCUAAUACCGCAUACGCCGGAGAGAUCCGGGAAAGAUUUAUCGCGAUUGGAGGGGCCCGCGUCGGAUUAGCUAGUUGGUGGGGUAACGGCCUACCAAGGCUUUGAUCCGUAGCUGGUCUGAGAGGAUGAUCAGCCACACUGGGACUGAGACACGGCCCAGACUCCUACGGGAGGCAGCAGUGGGGAAUAUUGGACAAUGGGGGCAACCCUGAUCCAGCAAUGCCGCGUGAGUGAGGAAGGCCUUAGGGUUGUAAAGCUCUUUCGCACGCGACGAUGAUGACGGUAGCGUGAGAAGAAGCCCCGGCUAACUUCGUG